UGAUAAUUGGGAAACAUCCGGGAGAUUUGGUAUCGAGUUUGUCUUCGUCUCCAGGAGAAGCUCUGUCGCUAAGAAGCAUUUCCGAUGAACGUGUAUUAGAACCACGGGGACAAAAUAGAGAGAAGCUCUUGAAGAUGGUGGAAAUGGCUU
Molecule: small RNA, 150 nt
Filed under: Arabidopsis thaliana (thale cress)
Lineage: Eukaryota; Viridiplantae; Streptophyta; Magnoliopsida; Brassicales; Brassicaceae
Description: ATSL029480
Source: RNAcentral